UUGAGUUAUUAAAUUUAAUUCGGCAGAGGCAAAGAGCUGAAGAACAUUCACAAGUUGAACCAGUUGAAGAAUAUUUCAAUGAUGAUGAUUAAAGAUAGAGGUUUAAUAUGUAUGUAACGAGAAUGCGCAGAAAGAAAAAAAGGUGAAAAUGGAAAAAAUAAAUCUUUACUAUUUACAUUAUUUAAUUAUACGUAAUAUGAACUGAAUACAUCUUUACAACUUAUAGUAUAAAUAAAACGGUAAAACAACAAAA
Molecule: long non-coding RNA, 253 nt
Organism: Wasmannia auropunctata (little fire ant)
Lineage: Eukaryota; Metazoa; Arthropoda; Insecta; Hymenoptera; Formicidae
Exons: 2
Source: RefSeq, a predicted model, not a curated record